AUUGAACGCUGGCGGCAUGCCUUACACAUGCAAGUCGAACGGCAGCACGGGUGCUUGCCCCUGGUGGCGAGUGGCGAACGGGUGAGUAAUACAUCGGAACAUGUCCUGUAGUGGGGGAUAGCCCGGCGAAAGCCGGAUUAAUACCGCAUACGAUCUACGGAUGAAAGCGGGGGACCUUCGGGCCUCGCGCUAUAGGGUUGGCCGAUGGCUGAUUAGCUGGUUGGUGGGGUAAAGGCCUACCAAGGCGACGAUCAGUAGCUGGUCUGAGAGGACGACCAGCCACACUGGGACUGAGACACGGCCCAGACUCCUACGGGAGGCAGCAGUGGGGAAUUUUGGACAAUGGGCGAAAGCCUGAUCCAGCAAUGCCGCGUGUGUGAAGAAGGCCUUCGGGUUGUAAAGCACUUUUGUCCGGAAAGAAAUCCUUGGCCCUAAUACGGUCGGGGGAUGACGGUACCGGAAGAAUAAGCACCGGCUAACUACGUG
Molecule: ribosomal RNA, 486 nt
Filed under: uncultured bacterium
Lineage: Bacteria
Description: partial 16S ribosomal RNA
Rfam family: Bacterial small subunit ribosomal RNA
Source: RNAcentral